GACGAACGCUGGCGGCGUGCAUAACACAUGCAAGUCGAACGCUGAAGUCCUAUCGGGGGUGGAUGAGAGGCGAACGGGAGAGUAACACGUGGGCAAUCUGCACUGUACUCCGGGAUAAGCAAUGGAAACGGGGUAUACUACCGGAUAGGACCUGUCCUCGCAUGGGGGCAGGUGGAAAGGUGCGGCGGUCCGGCAGGGGCCCGCGGGCUAUCAGCUCGUUGGUGGGGUAGUGGCCUACGAAGGCGACGACGGGUAGCCGGCCUGAGAGGGUGACCGGUCACGCUGGGACUGAGACACGGCCCAGACUCCUACGGGAGGCAGCAGUGGGAAAUCUUGCGCAAUGGGCGAAAGCCUGACGCAGCAACGCCGCGUGGGGGAUGACGGCCUUCGGGUUGUAAUCCUCUUUCGACAUCGACGAAGGGGCCCUGUUGUGGGGUUUUGACGGUAGGUGUAGAAGAAGCACCGGCUAACUACGUGCCAGCCGCCGCCGUAA
Molecule: ribosomal RNA, 493 nt
Filed under: uncultured bacterium
Lineage: Bacteria
Description: partial 16S ribosomal RNA
Rfam family: Bacterial small subunit ribosomal RNA
Source: RNAcentral